CACAGCCCUAGUUUUUACAUUUAAAAUUUUAUUUUUUUCCUGGAUAAGAAUUUACUAUUGUUUUUCUUCUGAUAGAAGAGGCGUCGGAGACUAGAUCGAAGUAUGAUAGGAGAACCAAUGAACUUUGUGCACACGGCUCAUGUUGGAACAAGAGAAAUGAUUAAUGGUUUAGCAUCUAAAUCCUGAAAAUCUGUAUUGCUAGAAGGCCUCACUUGUUUGCACUGAUAUUGCAGCAUA
RNAcentral lists this long non-coding RNA (237 nucleotides) under Crocodylus porosus (Australian saltwater crocodile). RNAcentral's name for it is "lncRNA (ENSCPRG00005014935.1)". The record is from RNAcentral. Lineage: Eukaryota; Metazoa; Chordata; Crocodylia; Crocodylidae.